CCCCAAAGUGUUGCGUUGAGUUCAGAGCAGCUCCCCUGUUCCUCUCAUUAAACUUUGGGACAUUGAAAGUGGCUAAAGGAAAUGCCUGAAUAGAGAAUAUUACUCUAUUCAUAUAUGUCCUAGUCAAAAGCA
Molecule: small nucleolar RNA, 132 nt
Organism: Arvicola amphibius (Eurasian water vole)
Lineage: Eukaryota; Metazoa; Chordata; Mammalia; Rodentia; Cricetidae
Source: RefSeq, a predicted model, not a curated record